GUACGCUGGCGGCACGCCUAACACAUGCAAGUCGAACGAAGUAGCAAUACUUAGUGGCAGACGGGUGAGUAACAUGUGGGUAUCUACCCUUUGGCCUGGAAUAACACGAGGAAACUUGUGCUAAUACCGGAUAAGUCUUUACGGAGAAAGCUUUAUGCACCAUUGGAUGAGCCCGCACUUGAUUAGUUUGUUGGUAGGGUAAUGGCCUACCAAGACUAUGAUCAAUAGCUGAUUUGAGAGGAUGAUCAGCCACAUUGGGACUGAGACACGGCCCAAACUCCUACGGGAGGCAGCAGUGGGGAAUCUUGCACAAUGGAGGAAACUCUGAUGCAGCGAUGCCGCGUGAGUGAAGAAGGCCUUUGGGUUGUAAAGCUCUUUCGUCGGGGAAGAAAAUGACUGUACCCGAAUAAGAAGGUCCGGCUAACUUCAUGCCAGCAGCCGCGGUAAUACGAAGGGACCUAGCGUAGUUCGGAAUUACUGGGCUUAAAGAGUUCGUAGGUGGUUGAAAAAGUUGGUGGUGAAAUCCCAGAGCUUAACUCUGGAACUGCCAUCAAAACUUUUCAGCUAGAGUAUGAUAGAGGAAAGCAGAAUUUCUAGUGUAGAGGUGAAAUUCGUAGAUAUUAGAAAGAACACCAAUUGCGAAGGCAGCUUUCUGGAUCAUUACUGACACUGAGGUGCGAAAGCAUGGGUAGCGAAGAGGAUUAGAUACCCUCGUAGUCCAUGCUGUAAACGAUGUGUGCUAGAUGUUGGGAAUUUUUAUUCUCAGUGUCGCAGCAAAAGCGUUAAGCACACCGCCUGGGGAGUACGACCGCAAGGUUAAAACUCAAAUGAAAUUGACGGGGACCGCCACAAGUAGUGGAGCAUGUGGUUUA
This 872-nucleotide ribosomal RNA is filed under the name uncultured bacterium. Its description in RNAcentral is "bacterial SSU rRNA". It matches the Rfam family "Bacterial small subunit ribosomal RNA", at positions 31 to 948 of the family's 1533-position model. The record is from RNAcentral.